Molecule: ribosomal RNA, 501 nt
Filed under: uncultured Glomus
Lineage: Eukaryota; Fungi; Glomeromycota; Glomeromycetes; Glomerales; Glomeraceae
Description: SSU rRNA
Rfam family: Eukaryotic small subunit ribosomal RNA
Source: RNAcentral
CCAAUAGCGUAUAUUAAAGUUGUUGCAGUUAAAAAGCUCGUAGUUGAAUUUCGGGGCCAGUAAGGUUGGUCGUGCCACUGGUAUGCACUGGCCUUACUGGUCCCUCCUUCUUGUAGAACCGUGAUGCCAUUAAUUUGGUGUUGCGGGGAAACAGGACUGUUACUUUGAAAAAAUUAGAGUGCUUAAAGCAGGCUCGCGCUUGAAUACAUUAGCAUGGAAUAACGGAAUAGGACGAUCGAACCUAUUUUGUUGGUUUCUAGGAUCGACGUAAUGAUUAAUAGGGAUAGUUGGGGGCAUUAGUAUUCAAUUGUCAGAGGUGAAAUUCUUGGAUUUAUUGAAGACUAACUACUGCGAAAGCAUUUGCCAAGGAUGUUUUCAUUAAUCAAGAACGAAAGUUAGGGGAUCGAAGACGAUCAGAUACCGUCGUAGUCUUAACCAUAAACUAUGCCGACUAGGGAUCGGAUGAAGUUAAUUUUUUAAUGACUCAUUCGGCGCCUUACG